AAGGUGACCUGGUGAAUUACGUUUGACUAAUUUCUUAAACAUGUCAUGUCCAUGUUUGUUAGAUUGAUUGUGUGUGCCGAGGAAGUUUUUACAUACUUUUUGUUUUUUGCAGAGACAACACUGGCUUUGCUUCGCCAUCCUGAUUAUUGCAUCUCGGGUUAUUCAUCUGUGGAUGUGAAACGGAGCAUAGACGAUGGGGAGAAACGCUUCAAUCAACUCUAGAUCGAAGAACGUGGUAAAUUUGACGAGGAGACACUGGUGAAUGUGAGCAAUAUUAGAAGGCACAGUACAGCAUAUCAGAACGCUAGUGGAUUCAACAAUGAGUACAUAGUGAUAACAAUUUCGGUAGCUGCUGAAGGAGUGCAUAAAUUGCCCCUCAUCAAGGGAAGUGGUGACUUGAAUGUAGCCUUGCAAAAGCUUGCCUCCAUCCCGACAAGCAAACUACUGGUAAGAAUCGGCUUAUC
Hibiscus syriacus is the source of this 464-nucleotide long non-coding RNA. RefSeq lists it as uncharacterized. The record is from RefSeq and is a predicted model, not a curated record. NCBI's taxonomy places the organism in Eukaryota, Viridiplantae, Streptophyta, Magnoliopsida, Malvales, Malvaceae. The transcript has 3 exons.